AUAUCUAAAACCUGCAGGACACUGGCCCUUGAGGCCUGGAGUUGCCUACCCGUGCACUACACCUAGGAACCUCAUCUGAGAUCUUCCUCUUGUCCUCCCACCUAGCAGCUCCAUCUUCAUCCUUUGUCCAGUGUAUCCACUCUCCUUUGACUUUGAGCUAUCCCUCUGAUGGACUCAUUUCUAAACGUCUAAAUCCUGAUGCUUAAAAUUAAAUCUAGCUUAGGCAUCCCUGGAUGUUUCAUGUCUGCUGCUACUGGACAUGCGAAACCUGAAGUGCUCUUUACCUGGGUCUUCAUUGGCCUACAAUAGUCAUCUGAGGCCUGCAAGCUGAUGUAGGUAUGGCUGAUUCGCAUACAGUUAAGGUAAGGAGUCAAAGUUUGUCUUCCCCCUCCUUACCCCCUCGGCUAGCCAAGGAAGAUGGCCGCCAGCCCUCAGCCUGCUCCUGUUGAAGGUGUCUUCCUGUUAGGGAGAAUUUAGCCCCCUGCUAACACCGGGAGUACACGGGAUCACUGGCCUUCUCUCUACCUUCCACCGCAAAGUGCUGUGCAGAUAAAUGUGCACACCUGUACACACAGCACGAGCCAUCUGUUGCUGUGACACACCGCCCAGCCCUCCCUGGUCCACCAGGCUUUAAGGUGGAGUAGCCCAGCUAGCCAAAAAACGUGCCCCAAUGCUUCCAGCUGGCUCUAGCUUAUCGAUCCGAGCUCCGCGUGAAGGACCGCGCUACACGCACACAAAGGCCGCGGUGUGCCCGCUGCUCGGAGCCGCUCACCAGCCUACCUACACGCGAGCCUCGGUGGACUGUCCCAUAGAUAAACGGGUUCACAUGGCACGUUAGCUGGCCCUCUCCGGAGCCAAGCUGCGAAAACUGAGCGAACACACGGCUCCCAAAGCGAGGCAGGGCGAGCGGCGGCCGCAGCACGUGUCCCGGCCGGCCACCCCUCCGCUGCUGCCGGAGAGAGCCCCGCUAGCAGCUCCGAACCGGGACCGAAGGGUGAACCAAACACGAAAUUCAUGUUUAAACAAUUUAAUUUAAAAUGUGAGGAUUAAACGACAAAAUGGAGCGGAAAAGGAGGCAGUCACGACCGAGCCACGGCUAAAAGAGAGCUACAUGUGGGGGAUGGCUAUAUCCUGGAGACCAAACAAUCAAGCCGGUAGCUGUAUUUCGACUUUUUCCACGCAAUAACAGUUAUUACACCAUCCGAUGGCAGUUGGAAAUACUCAGAUACUGUAAUUUGCAAGUAAUACACCAUUAUGUAUAAUUAUACUCUUGUUACAAUGUCAAUAGGAUCGCUAACAGCAACUCCCAGUCUACACCGGGAUGUAGACGGGGCCUGGAAGAGCGAUCCAGUUAAUAAAAAACCCAGGUGAUAUAAACUAAUCACACACAGAGAUGUUGGAUUAGAUUACAAAGAAGC
Oreochromis aureus is the source of this 1418-nucleotide long non-coding RNA. RefSeq lists it as uncharacterized. Lineage: Eukaryota; Metazoa; Chordata; Actinopteri; Cichliformes; Cichlidae. The record is from RefSeq and is a predicted model, not a curated record. The transcript is spliced from 3 exons.